CUAAUACUCCCUCCGUCCGGAAAUACUUGUCAUCAAAAUGAAUAAAAAGGGAUGUAUCUAGAUGUAUUUUAGUUCUACAUACAUCCAUUUUUGUCCAUUUCGAUGACAAGUAUUUCCGGACGGAGGGAGUAUUUA
Non-coding RNA from Triticum aestivum (bread wheat), 135 nucleotides. Lineage: Eukaryota; Viridiplantae; Streptophyta; Magnoliopsida; Poales; Poaceae. The record is from Rfam.